Molecule: ribosomal RNA, 483 nt
Filed under: uncultured archaeon
Lineage: Archaea
Description: bacterial SSU rRNA
Rfam family: Archaeal small subunit ribosomal RNA
Source: RNAcentral
UAAGCGUCCGUAGCCGGUUAAUAAGUCUCUGGUGAAAUCCUGCAGCUUAACUGUGGGAAUGCUGGAGAUACUAUUAGACUGAGACCGGGAGAGGUUAGAGGUACUCCCGGGGUAGAGGUGAAAUUCUGUAAUCCUGGGAGGACCGCCUGUUGCGAAGGCGUCUAACUGGAACGGUUCUGACGGUGAGGGACGAAAGUUAGGGGCGCGAACCGGAUUAGAUACCCGGGUAGUCCUAACUGUAAACGACGCGGACUUGGUGUUGGGGUGGCUUUGAGCUGCUUCAGUGCCGAAGGGAAGCUGUUAAGUCCGCCGCCUGGGAAGUACGGUCGCAAGACUGAAACUUAAGGAAUUGGCGGGGGAGCACCACAACGCGUGGAGCCUGCCGGUUUAAUUGGAUUCAACGCCGGACAUCUCACCAGAGGCGACAGCUGUAUGAUAGCCAGGUUGAUGACUUUGCUUGACUAGCUGAGAAGUGGUGCAUGG